Ustulina deusta is the source of this 98-nucleotide non-coding RNA. Lineage: Eukaryota; Fungi; Ascomycota; Sordariomycetes; Xylariales; Xylariaceae. The record is from the annotation of a GenBank genome assembly.
GGCUUAGUGGUCUAGUGGUAUGAUUCCUGCUUCGGGUUGUACCCUUCCAUCUUACGUGGGAAUGCAGGAGGCCCCGGGUUCGAAUCCCGGCUGAGCCC